This 129-nucleotide ribosomal RNA is filed under the name Escherichia coli. RNAcentral's name for it is "partial 16S ribosomal RNA". It matches the Rfam family "Bacterial small subunit ribosomal RNA", at positions 1 to 120 of the family's 1533-position model. Lineage: Bacteria; Pseudomonadati; Pseudomonadota; Gammaproteobacteria; Enterobacterales; Enterobacteriaceae. The record is from RNAcentral. RNAcentral also lists the same sequence under 1 other name.
UUAAAUUGAAGAGUUUGAUCAUGGCUCAGAUUGAACGCUGGCGGCAGGCCUAACACAUGCAAGUCGAACGGUAACAGGAAACAGCUUGCUGUUUCGCUGACGAGUGGCGGACGGGUGAGUAAUGUCUGG